Molecule: transfer RNA, 90 nt
Filed under: Parcubacteria group bacterium
Lineage: Bacteria
Also listed under: 1 other name
Description: tRNA-Ser
Rfam family: tRNA
About the family: Transfer RNA (tRNA) molecules are approximately 80 nucleotides in length.
Source: RNAcentral
GGAGAGGUGGCUGAGCGGUUUAAGGUGCUCGCUUGGAAAGCGAGUGAGGGUUAACGCCCUCCACGGGUUCGAAUCCCGUCCUCUCCGCCA